AGCCUUUCAUGGUAUAAUUAAAACCACGAAGAUGAAGAGCAGCAAGCAGGCCCGACAAUUUGCAGAACAUUCUUUUUAUCUGAAAAGCAGCGAACUGACACUCUGAGCAAGCACUGAUUGGAGAUAGCUCAUAAGAAUGGAUGCAGUGAAGGUUUCAGCAGGGGCUGUCUGAUUUCUUGAACUGUCGAUCCGAAGACCUGAGGAGAAGCAGUAUAUAAAUAAAACAGUGGGAAAAUUCACCAGAAAAUAAGACUGGACCUUAAAUCUCUCGGCUUAAAUCCAAUUAAUUGGUUGGAUUUGAAGGAAUUUGCAUAUGUAUCUGUUGUUGACAUAGAGAUUUGAUCCAAAAGUACUGUAUGACCUGUGGAAACCUCUGCACCAAAUGACAGAUCUACAGCUGCAGCUCCUGGUUAUAGCUAUUUUGCAUUCCGAGCCUGGAACUUGUUCUCAGGUAAUGUGUUAUUCUUGUCAUUUCACCAGUUCUGUGAAUUUGUAUUGCAUCAGUUAGGAAACCUGGAAAGUUAUACAAUAUAAUCAAGCACUAAAAUGUAACACUUGAGUGAUAAUUUUAAUAUGAGGAACCCACUCUAAUUUCUGAUAGCUUUAUUUGAUUUGAAUUCCUUUGAAUAAUAAAGAGAUGAAACACAGGUCUCUGGGCUAGCUUUUUGAUUUGAGAAGCCAGUGUGAGAAAUGGCAGUGCUUAUUUAAUUCUCCCAAUAAUUUAUUUUCAAAUACUUUUAAAUAGUUUUUUGUGUAUCAUAGUGAAAGAUUGGAAGAUUCUCUGUUUUACUCACUGAGACAGAUUCUUAGUAAGACAAAUCAUGGUUUUCAGUGGAAAAACAUCCAGAGACCUUGAAAUUUCACUAAUAUACUGCAAAAAAAUUUAAAAUAACCAGUGACUUUAUGUCCUUUGCCAUUAUCACUUUGAACUAUUCACUACCAUAAAGUGCUUGUUCUGCUUAUUCUUGUGCCAAAGCUCACAUAUAGGGGAUGACUUGUCCUUAUCCUCAUUAGCUUCUCUCUCUAGAGUUUGGAGGUGCCAACAGCUAUUUUUGAACAGAAGUCAGUAAGACUGCUA
Long non-coding RNA from Myiozetetes cayanensis, 1078 nucleotides. RefSeq lists it as uncharacterized. The record is from RefSeq and is a predicted model, not a curated record. The transcript is spliced from 3 exons. NCBI's taxonomy places the organism in Eukaryota, Metazoa, Chordata, Aves, Passeriformes, Tyrannidae.